CGGGGCCGGGUCCGGUGGG
RNAcentral lists this microRNA (19 nucleotides) under Gallus gallus (chicken). RNAcentral's name for it is "microRNA Ros-gga". The record is from RNAcentral. Lineage: Eukaryota; Metazoa; Chordata; Aves; Galliformes; Phasianidae.